Molecule: ribosomal RNA, 496 nt
Filed under: uncultured bacterium
Lineage: Bacteria
Description: partial 16S ribosomal RNA
Rfam family: Bacterial small subunit ribosomal RNA
Source: RNAcentral
AUGAACGCUGGCGGCGUGCCUAAUACAUGCAAGUCGAGCGAACGGACGAGAAGCUUGCUUCUCUGAUGUUAGCGGCGGACGGGUGAGUAACACGUGGAUAACCUACCUAUAAGACUGGGAUAACUUCGGGAAACCGUAGCUAAUACCGGAUAAUAUUUUGAACCGCAUGGUUCAAAAGUGAAAGACGGUCUUGCUGUCACUUAUAAAUGGAUCCGCGCUGCAUUAGCUAGUUGGUAAGGUAACGGCUUACCAAGGCAACGAUGCAUAGCCGACCUGAGAGGGUGAUCGGCCACACUGGAACUGAGACACGGUCCAGACUCCUACGGGAGGCAGCAGUAGGGAAUCUUCCGCAAUGGGCGAAAGCCUGACGGAGCAACGCCGCGUGAGUGAUGAAGGUCUUCGGAUCGUAAAACUCUGUUAUUAGGGAAGAACAUAUGUGUAAGUAACUGUGCACAUCUUGACGGUACCUAAUCAGAAAGCCACGGCUAACUACGUG